RNAcentral lists this ribosomal RNA (486 nucleotides) under uncultured bacterium. Its description in RNAcentral is "partial 16S ribosomal RNA". It matches the Rfam family "Bacterial small subunit ribosomal RNA", at positions 30 to 507 of the family's 1533-position model. The record is from RNAcentral.
AUUGAACGCUGGCGGCAUGCCUUACACAUGCAAGUCGAACGGCAGCACGGGUGCUUGCACCUGGUGGCGAGUGGCGAACGGGUGAGUAAUACAUCGGAACAUGUCCUGUAGUAGGGGAUAGCCCGUCGAAAGCCGGAUUAAUACCGCAUACGAUCUACGGAUGAAAGCGGGGGACCUUCGGGCCUCGCGCUAUAGGGUUGGCCGAUGGCUGAUUAGCUAGUUGGUGGGGUAAAGGCCUACCAAGGCGACGAUCAGUAGCUGGUCUGAGAGGACGACCAGCCACACUGGGACUGAGACACGGCCCAGACUCCUACGGGAGGCAGCAGUGGGGAAUUUUGGACAAUGGGCGAAAGCCUGAUCCAGCAAUGCCGCGUGUGUGAAGAAGGCCUUCGGGUUGUAAAGCACUUUUGUCCGGAAAGAAAUCCUUGGCCCUAAUACGGUCGGGGGAUGACGGUACCGGAAGAAUAAGCACCGGCUAACUACGUG